Molecule: ribosomal RNA, 497 nt
Filed under: uncultured bacterium
Lineage: Bacteria
Description: partial 16S ribosomal RNA
Rfam family: Bacterial small subunit ribosomal RNA
Source: RNAcentral
GAUGAACGCUGGCGGCGUGCCUAAUACAUGCAAGUCGAGCGAACAGACGAGGAGCUUGCUCCUCUGACGUUAGCGGCGGACGGGUGAGUAACACGUGGAUAACCUACCUAUAAGACUGGGAUAACUUCGGGAAACCGGAGCUAAUACCGGAUAAUAUAUUGAACCGCAUGGUUCAAUAGUGAAAGACGGUUUUGCUGUCACUUAUAGAUGGAUCCGCGCCGCAUUAGCUAGUUGGUAAGGUAACGGCUUACCAAGGCAACGAUGCGUAGCCGACCUGAGAGGGUGAUCGGCCACACUGGAACUGAGACGCGGUCCAGACUCCUACGGGAGGCAGCAGUAGGGAAUCUUCCGCAAUGGGCGAAAGCCUGACGGAGCAACGCCGCGUGAGUGAUGAAGGUCUUCGGAUCGUAAAACUCUGUUAUUGGGGAAGAACAAAUGUGUAAGUAACUAUGCACGUCUUGACGGUACCUAAUCAGAAAGCCACGGCUAACUACGUG